Molecule: non-coding RNA, 30 nt
Filed under: Homo sapiens (human)
Lineage: Eukaryota; Metazoa; Chordata; Mammalia; Primates; Hominidae
Source: RNAcentral
CAGAAAGGACUACUGUGGAAUCAAUGAAGU